This 65-nucleotide transfer RNA is filed under the name Cavia porcellus (domestic guinea pig). It matches the Rfam family "tRNA". Rfam says of the family: Transfer RNA (tRNA) molecules are approximately 80 nucleotides in length. Their secondary structure includes four short double-helical elements and three loops (D, anti-codon, and T loops). Lineage: Eukaryota; Metazoa; Chordata; Mammalia; Rodentia; Caviidae. The record is from Rfam by way of RNAcentral.
GGGGAUUUAGCUCAGCGGCAUAAGCACUUGCCUUGUAAGCAAGUGGUCGUGAGUACCGAUCCCCG